CCUACGGGAGGCUGCAGCGAGGAAUAUUGGUCAAUGGACGAGAGUCUGAACCAGCCAAGUAGCGUGAAGGAUGACUGCCCUAUGGGUUGUAAACUUCUUUUAUAAAGGAAUAAAACGAGGCACGGGUGCCUUUUUGCAUGUACUUUAUGAAUAAGGAUCGGCUAACUCCGUGCCAGCAGCCGCGGUAAUACUGAGGAUCCGAGCGUUAUCCGGAUAUAUUGGGUUUAAAGGGAGCGUAGAUGGGUUGGUAAGUCAGUAGUGAAAGUUUGCGGCUCAACCGUAAAAUUGCAAUUGAUACUGGCAGUCUUGAGUACAGUUGAAGUAGGCGGAAUUCGUGGUGCAGCGGUGAAAUGCUUAGAUAUCACGAAGAACCCCGAUUGCGAAGACAGCUUACUAAACUGUGACUGACAUUGAUGCUCGAAAGUGUGGGUAUCAAACAGGAUUAGAUACCCGAGUAGUC
RNAcentral lists this ribosomal RNA (460 nucleotides) under uncultured bacterium. Its description in RNAcentral is "partial 16S ribosomal RNA". It matches the Rfam family "Bacterial small subunit ribosomal RNA", at positions 338 to 795 of the family's 1533-position model. The record is from RNAcentral.